AUUGAACGCUAACGGCGUGCCUAACACAUGCAAGUCGAGCGGCAGCAUGAUCUGUAGCAAUACAGAUUGAUGGCGAGCGGCGGACGGGUGAGCAAUACAUAGGAAUCUACCUUGUAGUGGGGGAUAACCCGGGGAAACUCGGGCUAAUACCGCAUAAUCUCUACGGAGCAAAGCGGGGGAUCGUAAGACCUCGCGCUAAAAGAUGAGCCUAUGUUGGAUUAGCGAGUUGGUGAGGUAAUGGCUCACCAAGGCGACGAACCAUAGCUGGUGUGGGAGGAUGAUCAGCCACACUGGGACUGAGACACGGCCCAGACUCCUACGGGAGGCAGCAGUGGGGAAUAUUGGACAAUGGGCGAAAGCCUGAUCCAGCAACGCCGUGUGUGUGAAGAAGGCCUUCGGGUUGUAAAGCACUUUUAGUUGGGAAGAAAAGUUCAUGGCUAGUAACUAUGAGUGAUGACGUUACCAACAGAAAAAGCACUGGCUAACUCUGUGCCAGCAGCCGCCGUAA
This 508-nucleotide ribosomal RNA is filed under the name uncultured bacterium. Its description in RNAcentral is "partial 16S ribosomal RNA". It matches the Rfam family "Bacterial small subunit ribosomal RNA", at positions 30 to 523 of the family's 1533-position model. The record is from RNAcentral.